AGGGGUAUCGCCAAGUUGGUAAGGCACUGGAUUCUGAAUCCAGCAUGCGUUGGUUCGAGUCCAGCUACCCCUGCCA
This 76-nucleotide transfer RNA is filed under the name Anaerovibrio sp. RNAcentral's name for it is "tRNA-Gln". It matches the Rfam family "tRNA". Rfam says of the family: Transfer RNA (tRNA) molecules are approximately 80 nucleotides in length. Their secondary structure includes four short double-helical elements and three loops (D, anti-codon, and T loops). Further hydrogen bonds mediate the characteristic L-shaped molecular structure. tRNAs have two regions of fundamental functional importance: the anti-codon, which is responsible for specific mRNA codon recognition, and the 3' end, to which the tRNAs corresponding amino acid is attached (by aminoacyl-tRNA synthetases). tRNAs cope with the degeneracy of the genetic code in two manners: having more than one tRNA (with a specific anti-codon) for a particular amino acid; and 'wobble' base-pairing, i.e. permitting non-standard base-pairing at the 3rd anti-codon position. The record is from RNAcentral. Lineage: Bacteria; Bacillati; Bacillota; Negativicutes; Selenomonadales; Selenomonadaceae. RNAcentral also lists the same sequence under 3 other names.